Non-coding RNA from Chrysochloris asiatica (Cape golden mole), 339 nucleotides. NCBI's taxonomy places the organism in Eukaryota, Metazoa, Chordata, Mammalia, Afrosoricida, Chrysochloridae. The record is from the annotation of a RefSeq genome assembly.
AUGGACUGGACUUUGAGAGUCAUCUUGUUGGUUGCAGCAACUACAGAUGGCCAAUCCCAGGUCCAGCUGAAACAAUAUGGAGCUGAACUGAAGAAGCCUGAGUCGUCAGUGAAGAUCUCCUGCAAGAUAUCUGGAUAUACCUUCACUGAAUACUAUGUGAAUUGGAUGCGUCAGAUCCAUGGACAUGGGUUUGAGUGGAUCAGAAGGGUUAAUCCAAGCAAUGGUGGAACAGACUACUCACAGAAGUUCCAGGGCAGAGUCACCAUAACCAGUGAAAAGUCCACAAGCACAGCCUACAUGGAUCUAAGCAGUCUGGGCUCUGAGGACACCAUAUCCUGA